This 445-nucleotide ribosomal RNA is filed under the name Oratosquillina inornata. Its description in RNAcentral is "partial 16S ribosomal RNA". It matches the Rfam family "Bacterial large subunit ribosomal RNA", at positions 1923 to 2566 of the family's 2925-position model. The record is from RNAcentral. Lineage: Eukaryota; Metazoa; Arthropoda; Malacostraca; Stomatopoda; Squillidae.
UUAAAGAGCCGCGGUAUUUUGACCGUGCGAAGGUAGCAUAAUAAUUAGUCUCCUAAUUAGAGGCUUGUAUGAAUGGUCGGACAAGAUGGAAACUGUCUCAAUACAAUAAAUAAAAUUUAAUAUUUAAGUAAAAAAGCUUAAAUAAUAUGGAGGGACGAUAAGACCCUAUAAAGCUUUAUAUUACAUUUCUUUUUUAUAAAUUAUUUCGUUAUUAACUUAUUUUAGAAUUUGUAUUAUUUUACUGGGGCGGUAAAAGUAUAUUAAAGAUUAACUGCUUUUGUUUUGUAAAACAAUUAUAGUUGAAAAUAAAUUGAUCCAUUAUUAAUGAUCAUAAGAACAAGUUACUUUAGGGAUAACAGCGUAAUUUUUUUUGAGAGUUCUUAUCGAAAAAAAAGUUUGCGACCUCGAUGUUGAAUUAAGGUUACCUUAAGGUGCAGCAGUUUUA